UUGGAAUGUUAUAAGUUCAACAUAUGUUAUUUCAGCAUUGCCGGAACUAAAUUCGAAAUCCUCCGGAGAAAAGAUGAUUUGUGUUUUCUUAAUUAAAAAAGUUUCAGUAUUCACCGGAUAUGACGUAUUGAUUAGCAAGAUUCUAUAGACUGUCAAAGCAGAUAAACCUUACAUAUCAAGCAGCCAUAAAUAUGUGGAUUGCGUAAGUCAAACAAUCCUUUAUCAUGGACUCAUGUGGUUUGCAAUUACUUGAUCAGAUCCUCAUUGGUUUCUGAAGGAUUAAAUUUCUCUCAUAAAUGGUUAUUUGAUCAUUUACUCUUGUAUGAAUUUUCAGCUGAGAAUCUUACUAACUGCCAUUAAUUUAUUUGCAAGACAAAGAUAGUCGUUUUGUUUUUCUCAACCAUUUGGUUCGUGGAAUUGAUGUGUCAGUAUCUUUUGUCUAUAAACGUAAAAAUAAUCUUUUGACAAUUAAAUUUUGUUAAAGUAGGAUAAGAAAUUAACUAGAGAUAACACCUUCCUAUGAUAUUUAGUUUGUAAAUGAAUCUAUGAGAAAUUGAAAACGAAAACAAAAACAAAAAGAGAAGGUAAUGAAGAAAUAAUGAAGGAUUAAAGAUCAAACGGUUGAGAAGUGAGGUGGUACAUAUUACGCAAAAGUAAGAAGGUACAGAGGAUACUUAUCCCUGACGCAAGUGAGAAGCUCAAGUUGUGUAGCAUGUGCUUUGCCUUUCCGACACACCAUCGCAUGCAUCUUCACUUCUACUUCAUACCAUCCCUUAUGUUCCUCUCUCUCUUUCUCUUUCUCUUUAUCUACAUUUUAUUCUCUCUUUUUCUUUUCCUA
Arabidopsis thaliana (thale cress) is the source of this 838-nucleotide RNA transcript. RefSeq lists it as uncharacterized. The transcript has a single exon. The record is from RefSeq. NCBI's taxonomy places the organism in Eukaryota, Viridiplantae, Streptophyta, Magnoliopsida, Brassicales, Brassicaceae.